RNAcentral lists this ribosomal RNA (233 nucleotides) under uncultured Acidovorax sp. Its description in RNAcentral is "partial 16S ribosomal RNA". It matches the Rfam family "Bacterial small subunit ribosomal RNA", at positions 897 to 1125 of the family's 1533-position model. The record is from RNAcentral. Lineage: Bacteria; Pseudomonadati; Pseudomonadota; Betaproteobacteria; Burkholderiales; Comamonadaceae.
AAACUUAAAGGAAUUGACGGGGACCCGCACAAGCGGUGGAUGAUGUGGUUUAAUUCGAUGCAACGCGAAAAACCUUACCCACCUUUGACAUGUACGGAAUCCUUUAGAGAUAGAGGAGUGCUCGAAAGAGAACCGUAACACAGGUGCUGCAUGGCUGUCGUCAGCUCGUGUCGUGAGAUGUUGGGUUAAGUCCCGACAACGAGCGCAACCCUUGUCCAUUAGUUGCUUACAUU